Molecule: transfer RNA, 88 nt
Filed under: SAR324 cluster bacterium
Lineage: Bacteria; Deltaproteobacteria
Description: tRNA-Leu
Rfam family: tRNA
About the family: Transfer RNA (tRNA) molecules are approximately 80 nucleotides in length.
Source: RNAcentral
GCCGAGGUGGUGAAACUGGUAGACGCGCUGGACUCAAAAUCCAGUGGGGUAUCCCCCCGUGCCGGUUCGAUUCCGGCUCUCGGCACCA